Molecule: ribosomal RNA, 390 nt
Filed under: Triticum aestivum (bread wheat)
Lineage: Eukaryota; Viridiplantae; Streptophyta; Magnoliopsida; Poales; Poaceae
Description: partial small subunit ribosomal RNA
Source: RNAcentral
AUGGAUAAAAGUGAUUGUUUUCAAUUCCUAAUUGACCGUAUUAUUAAAAAAAUUAGUGGAUGGAAAGAGAAAUUUUUAUUCGCUGCAGGGAAUGAAAUCCUAUUUAAAUCGGCUGUACAAGCUAUCCCAACUUAUGCCAUGUCCAUCUUUAAAAUUCCUAAUUGCAAAGGAACCAUUGACGCGAUGUCGCAAUUUUGGUGGGGUGAUGAGGACAACCAGAAAAGGAUGCAUUGGAUGGCGUGGUGGAAGAUGUGUGUCCCAAAAGACCAAGGCGGAAUGUGGUUCAGAGAUAUACAUUGUUUCAAUUUGGCUUUGCUAGCCAAGAAAAUGUGGUGUUUGCUUGAUAAUCCAGAAUCUUUAUGUGCCACAAUCUUGAGAGCUAAAUAUUUC